CUCUAGAGGGUAUUUGGACCUGAGAAGAUUCUGUAUCCGGGGUUCUUGAGCUACUGCUUGGGCUCACUCCCACACUGUGAAGUGUACUUUCACUUUCAAUAAAUCUCUGCUUUCCUUGCUUUGCAGUGCGUUUUGUUCAAUUCUUUGUUCAAAACCCCAAGAAUCUGGACAACUUGCACUCAAGACCCUCUACGGGUUUGGCGAGCCAGUCUUUCAGUGGCUGUUUUCUAGUAGCUCCUUGGCAAUUGAGGGGAACUGGCUGGGACCACUCUCCAGUGCUGUCUGAAGGCCAAGGAGUGAACAGGGAUGGCUGCCCUGCCUUGAAGAGGGAAGGACUCUUUUCUAUCCUUUCCAGCUAUAGUCCCUGAUCCCUACAUGUGAUGCGGUUGGCAGCGGAAGCUCAUCCUGGGCGAACUCACACACUUUUCAGGAGACUUAAACCUUUUCUUAUGCUAAGUUCUUCCCUUCCCCUACUCAUCUGGCUAAAGGACAGACUAUGCAAAAAAGGUUAUACAAGUCAGAGGGUCUGAGCAUGUCGGAGGUGGUCUGUGUGGGGCAUGGGGUGGGGGGAAAAUUCAUGAAAGGCAAUUUAUUGCCUAAAUUUAAAGGGUUAAAGGGUUGCUUUAAGUGGGAUAGAAAAACCUUAAGGAAAGUUCAUAGUAGGUCCUCAGUGGUGGAGUGUUGUGGGAAGUCAGGGACCCUGAAUGAAGGGACUGGCUGAAGCCAUGGCAGAAGAACAUAAACUGUGAAGAUUUCAUGGACAUUUAUUAGUUCCCCAAAUUAACACUUUUAUAAUUUCUUACGCCUGUCUUUACUGCAAUCUCUGAACAUAAAUUGUGAAGAUUUUAUGGACAUUUAUCACUUCCCCAAUCAAUACUCUUGUGAUUUCCUAUGCCUGUCUUUACUUUAAUCUCUUAAUCCCGUCAUCUUCGUAAGCUGAGGAGGAUGUAAGUCGCCUCAGGACCCUGUGAUGAUUGUGUUAACUGCACAAAUUGUUUGUAGAGCAUGUGUGUUUGAACAGUAUCAAAUCUGGGCACCUUAAGAACAGGAUAACAGCAACGUUCAAGGAACAAGGGAGAUAAUCUUAACGUCUGGCUGCCUAUGGGCCGGGCAGAACAGAGCCAUAUUUCUCUUCUUUCUAAAGCAAAUAGGAGAAAUAUCGCUGAAUUCUUUUUCUCAGCAAGGAACAGCCCUGAGACAGAGAAUGUGUGCCUAGGGGUAGUCCUCCAAAAUGGCCACUCUGGGGACGGCUGUCUUUUAUGGUCGUAGAUAAGGGAAGAAAUAAGCCCCGGACUCCCAUAGUGCUCCCAGGCUUAUUAGGACGAGGAAAUUCCCACCUAAUAAAUUUUGGUCAGACUGGUUGUCUGCUCUCAAACCCUGUCUCCUGAUAAGAUGUUAUCAAUGACAAUGCGUGCCCGAAACUUCACUCGCAAUUUUAAUUUCGCCCUGGUCAUGUGGUCCCGUGAUCUCACCCUGCCUCCAUUUGCCUUGUGAUAUUUUAUUACCUUGUGAAGCAUGUGAUCUCUGUGACCCACACCCUAUUCAUACACUCCCUCCCCUUUUGGAAAUCACUAAUAAAAACUUGCUGGUUUUACGGCUUAGGGGGCAUCACAGAACCUGCCGACAUAUGAUGUCUCCC
This 1639-nucleotide long non-coding RNA is filed under the name Homo sapiens (human). RNAcentral describes it as "non-protein coding lnc-GPR183-47:22". The record is from RNAcentral. Lineage: Eukaryota; Metazoa; Chordata; Mammalia; Primates; Hominidae.